UGGCAUGGCUGCCGGAAUCGGAUAUUUCUGCACUCGGUUCUCCGUUGACCGGUAGGGCGGCCGGACCACGCCUUGCGGUGGGGCCAGGCCCGCCGAGGAAGGCCGCGGGUCGGUCGUCUGUCGGCUUCAUGCCCGACGACCACUUAGUUCUCCCAUUUGAGAGAAUCCCCGGUCUUCUCCUGGCCAGACAAAGGGAGCAGGUUUGACCCGCCGGUGUUGACUGUUCCUCGAGUCUACCCUCCAACCGGAACAGAUGAUGUGGGCCCAGUUAUAAAGCCAUCCAUACGUGGGCCUAUGCCUAAUAACUUGGGUUCGGCCUGUUAAUUUCGAUAAGAAAGUGUUUCAUUACAUUUGAAUCAAGAUCAAGAAGAUUUAAAAGAAUGCCAAAUAGAUAAUAAUGAGCAUCAUGCUGUGAAUCAGAUUGUUGCUUCCUCAGGGAGUACUUCAGCAAGCUCUUUACAGAGCAUUAAGACCAGGAGAUUUCUCCUGAACGAUACAGUUUUGGACAUCUCUGGGUUCUCAAACCAAUCAGGGAAGUACCCAGAUAAGCGAUUCUGAUGGGGAACGAGGAAAAUGGCAGGGAAGAGAUGCCGUGGAGAUGAGAUUUAUGAUGAUGAACAAGGAGGGCCUAAAUUCCAGACAUACAUCUUCUUCUAAUCCUAAGAAACUUCAAACGAAAGGUUGUUCAGAGCUCAGGAGUCAGAGAGGAAGGGUUGCUUCUUCUGGCUGUUAAAGUCUGGUGUUAUUAUACCUUUGAACGCUGUUGCUCAGUCUCUGGAGUUCAAAGAAUUAUGACGUGCUAAAAGUAGG
Molecule: long non-coding RNA, 810 nt
Filed under: Spirodela polyrhiza (greater duckweed)
Lineage: Eukaryota; Viridiplantae; Streptophyta; Magnoliopsida; Alismatales; Araceae
Description: long non-coding RNA (SPOL_LNC002161)
Source: RNAcentral